This is a long non-coding RNA of Apis laboriosa (Himalayan honeybee), 1106 nucleotides long. RefSeq lists it as uncharacterized. The record is from RefSeq and is a predicted model, not a curated record. The transcript is spliced from 5 exons. NCBI's taxonomy places the organism in Eukaryota, Metazoa, Arthropoda, Insecta, Hymenoptera, Apidae.
CAAACAUUCACGUCCACCGUUUGCAAUCUUUAUCUAAACGAUGAUACGGCUGAAGGAAAGAAAAGAAGCUUUAAGCGAAGAGUGUACGGUAGCUUCUCCGAUAUGUAACAGAGAUAUAAAUUAAAAUACUCACUAUUGACGUCGAUCGAUGAAGAGACAUUCUGGAUCAAUUGACAUUUUUAUUUAUUACCUUUUUAAGAACUUCAGGCGAUCAAGCAUCAAGAGGCAAAAGUGCGGAUACAAGCAGUGAUAAGAUAAGAUGUAUAUAAAUAUAAACACGACAUAUAAAAAAGAAAGAUAGAUAAUAAAGUCAUAAAGUAUACAGAGAAUAUAAUAAAGUGAAACGUGUUGAAAUAAUAUUUCGCAUGUAGGUCAGAAUCUGAAAUCCUUAAGGAUUUUAUUAUUUAUCUAUAGCUCUUGAUGUAUCUUAUCAAACAUUAACGAAUGUAGCACGAAAUUUACCAGAUGUUAUUUCAGGAAGUAACUUGCUUUACAAAGGAUAAGUGUUAUUGAAAUUUUCACGAGGAUUGUAAUCCACCCGUAAAUUUUCAAAGUAUCUAAGAGUUCAGAUUAUUUCCGUAAAUCGUCCUGUCCAUCCUGAAUCGAUGAAAAAUAAUACAUCAUUUUAGAGUGAUUGAUUUAUAGAUCAAUGAUAUUUAUUCAAUAGCCACAAAAAAAAAGAUCCUUCACUGCAAUUUAAUUAUAUCUGUGGACAAUAUCCAUCCUGGUUGGGAAAGAAAAAUAUAUCAGAAUAACCUUAUAUUACUUUCAAUUAUAGUUAUGGAAUUAAGACUUAGAAAAAUUGCCAUAUUCGGAGAAAUAUAAUCCUAUCACGAAAGAUUUCAGCUAUAAGAGAUCCCGAUCUAUCAAGGAUGAUAGAUUUCAGUCAUAAAAAAACACUCCAAGAUCAAAAUUAGAAGUUCCAACAAUAAAACGGAAAAUAUAAGAACACUACGAAACAAUAGAAAGAAAAAAGCAACGUCAUGAAGAAAAAUUAACAUUACGAAGAUAUAAAGAUUUCAAUAUUUUCAGAUGGAAGAAAUGAAGAAAACGAAGAGAAUGAAAUAGAGCUACAAAGUUUUAAUAUGAAAAUACGGAAUGCUUGU